GCCUUAACUGAAAGCAUUACUACGCUUUCGCCAGAGAACUACAAGCGACAAGCUUCAAACUCAAAGGACUUGACGGUGUCCCACAUCGACCUAGAGGAGCCUGUCCUAUAAUCGAUACCCCCCGUUCCACCCAACCAUUACUAGCAAGACUCAGCCUAUAUUCCGCCGUCGACAGUCUACCCCAUGAGGGCCAAACAGUAGACACAAUAGCUAUAUCAACUAAUACGUCAGGUCAAGGUGUAGCAAAUGUAAAGGAAGUGAUUGGCUACAUUUUUUAACUUAAAAAACACGAAAUACAGCAUGAAACUCUGUAUGAAGGUGAAUUUAGCAGUAAAAUUAAACAAGAGUGUUUAUUUUAACACCGCUCUGGGACGCGUACACACCGCCCGU
Molecule: ribosomal RNA, 390 nt
Filed under: Mesalina brevirostris
Lineage: Eukaryota; Metazoa; Chordata; Lepidosauria; Squamata; Lacertidae
Description: partial 12S ribosomal RNA
Rfam family: Bacterial small subunit ribosomal RNA
Source: RNAcentral